This 106-nucleotide small nuclear RNA is filed under the name Moschus moschiferus (Siberian musk deer). The record is from RNAcentral. Lineage: Eukaryota; Metazoa; Chordata; Mammalia; Artiodactyla; Moschidae.
GCUUGCUUAGGCAAACACAUACACUCAACGUGGAAUGAUACAGAGGAGUUUAGCAUAGCCCCAGCACAAGGGUGACAUGCAAAUUAAUGACACAUUCCAUAUUUUU